This 1070-nucleotide long non-coding RNA is filed under the name Carassius auratus (goldfish). RNAcentral describes it as "lncRNA (ENSCARG00000006408.1)". The record is from RNAcentral. Lineage: Eukaryota; Metazoa; Chordata; Actinopteri; Cypriniformes; Cyprinidae.
AUAAAUAAAUAAAAUUCAGAAAGUAAAUGUAUGUAUUUUUUAUGUCUUUGUGUGAUGGUAAUUGUGCUUAUCUCCCCUUAGCAAAUUGUUAUUAUUUUUUUCUGCCCAUACUUGUUCACAUCAUCCUUUUACAUGUUUUUCAAUGAAUUAAAGAAACAAAAUAGCAUAAAUAAAUAAAUACAUAAAUGUCAUAAGCUGCACAGAGUGCGACAUUUAUUUUUAUGUUAUUUUGCUUCUUUAAUAAAAGAAGUUUGGGAAUUAUUCCUUACAUAAUGGUGUAGCUGCAUGGAUGAAGAAACAGAUAAAAUGAAAAUAUAUUUUCUUGGGAACAGCUGAACGGAAUAAUUUAGAGCAGCGUGAGCAGAAGCGCUUGUGGGCAUCGGACGUGACGUCGUCACAUGAUCAGCCAAUCCCGCGCCGCCCUCGUGUUUACUGUCUGAGUUCGGCGCAUGCGCUCUAGCAUGUAAAUAACAGCCGCUGCGGUGGUUUGUAUGGUAUCGCACAGGCUCGUCAAAUACACGAACAACCGGCUUGUAUUUACAGAGGACGUUAUUAUAUCUUCUACGUUCAUGAAAAGGUGUGGUGAUGUGUUGAGUGUAGCAUGACACAGCAGCUGUUGAUCAGAGCCACAGCUGAUCCAGGAGCGAAUGCUGCUCGAUAACACACUCAAACAUUCAACAUCAGUACUGUCUGCUCCAGCGAUGCUAACAGAGAAGAGGAAGCGUCAGCGCGCUGAAGGGGAUGGCGAAAGCGCUCAGAUGCCUCAGGCCAAGCGACAGAGUUCAGCUCUCCAGAGCUCAGAGACGGCUAGAGAAUCAUGGGAGUCUGAGUCUUCCAGCAGCGAGGGCAGUUGGGUCAGCAGUCCAGAUCACGCCGCAGGGAGCAGCAGCAGUAGUCACUGUGGAGUGGACGUUAUUGGGCCCCACAGCUGCCACGACCCCUGCAGUCCCCACAGUGCCUCCAAGCAGCCGGACCCCGUGGACCCGCUGUCCUACCAGCACAUCAACCGUGUCCUGAAGGAAGCCCAUUUCCACAGCUUACAGAGCCGGGCUCCGUCCAAGCAUAGGUGA